CAAGACCCAAACAAAGAAGUGCUGAACGCAAAUAUGUGCUUCUUGUCCUCGCUGCUGUCAAGAGAUGCGGAGGUCUCACUGCCUUGUUUAAUGUCACAGAGAUAAAGCUGCCCGGGAUCGCUGAGAUGGUACUGCCCUGUUUCACAGAGCUGCCGAGAAAUGCAGAGACUCAGCUGGCGGGCACCCCUGAGAUUAAGCUGAGAUAUUGCUAUCCAGCUCACCAGAGAUUCAGCAAUCCUGAGGCUAUGCUGGCUAGCACCCCAGAGACAAUGUUGUCCGGUACCACGGAGGUACCCCCAGUCCUGCUCUCUCUCUCCUGAAAUGCAACGAACUCUGGCUUCCCCUGAACUGCAGUUACCUCUGGACUCUCCUGCAUUUGCAGCAACAAUCUCCUGACUGAGUUAAGGUAACCCCCUGACAUUGUUGGACUGCAGCAGCUUCCUGUCCCUGGUGAGCUGCAACUGACUUUGGUUCUGGUGCUGCAGCAUUCACCAGUCCCAGACAAACCAUAACCUACUUCAUAGAAUGGAACUCACUACUGCAAUUGGACCCUUCCCAAGUGCGCCAUCAUCGGAGCAUGACUAGGCUGGUGGAUGGGACAGCUCAAAGCUGUGAAGCUACAGGUUUUAGUCUUCUCAGGCUCACAGUUUUACAGCCAUGGGCAAGAUAAAAUAACCCAGAGCAGUUGCUCAAAUAAAGUCAAAUUAAUUUGACACUAUUCACAACUUUCAGAAGACAGUGUGAAGUGGAGCCUGGGGAUAAAAAAGAUAAUGACAUUUGUGUCACAAUUUCAUUGUGCAAUAUCACAGAAGCCAUUUCUCAUAUGGGCAACAAGGGAUCAUACGUUAAUCUACUGAAACUAAAUAACAUACAGUAUCUUCACUUGUAACAUGUUGCUCAUUGUUAAUCUGGUAAACUCUCUAUAACUUGGUUUGCCUUAAGGCCACAGUGUCAAGUUCCUGUCAUGAGUUUGUCAGUGGCACAUAAUGGUUUGUAUGUAUACAUAUCUUGACAGGACACAUAGUACUUGCUUGUUAUUUAAAUUCUUUCUUUUUUUCCUUUGCAAAUAUUGUCAUUGAACUGGUGGAGUAACUGAUAUACAGAGCUUCAAUAUACAACCAACUCGCCACUGUUAUACAUACUAAAAUCUGUGUUUUCCAUAAAGAAGAAUAAUAUCAAGAAAAAUAUUAUAAAAAAUACAGUCUGGACCUACUCUAUGUGAAAGUGCAAUGAGAUA
Molecule: long non-coding RNA, 1237 nt
Organism: Micropterus dolomieu (smallmouth bass)
Lineage: Eukaryota; Metazoa; Chordata; Actinopteri; Centrarchiformes; Centrarchidae
Exons: 3
Source: RefSeq, a predicted model, not a curated record